Molecule: long non-coding RNA, 3011 nt
Filed under: Ananas comosus (pineapple)
Lineage: Eukaryota; Viridiplantae; Streptophyta; Magnoliopsida; Poales; Bromeliaceae
Description: long non-coding RNA (ACOM_LNC002179)
Source: RNAcentral
CUUCCAGCUCGUUUUCGAUGUUGCGACUUUCGAAUCGUCGAUCGGCUCGUUAAACUUGAUCUAGAGUAUUUGAAGUACCUAGAAAAUAAUUUAUGAUUUUACGAUAUCAUUUGCCUAGUGACCGAAGGGGCUCAAAAUCAACGGCUGAAAAAAAAAUCUUACAAAAUGUAAUAAUAUGACAUUAAAUUUUAAAUCAAAGAUAUUGAUCUUGUUUAUAUAGUAUAAGAAUUUCUAUCAAAUUUCACGUGAUUUGAGAAUUUUCUACACCGUUAAACUGCAAACGGCUCACUACGGCCAUUAAAAUUCGUAUUUUGAGCUCAUUCGAUCACUAGGCAAAUGAUAUCGAAAAUUAAUAAAAUUUAUUUUCUAGGUACUCCAAAAACUCUAGAUCAAGUUUAAACGAGCCGAUCGACGAUUCGAAAGUCCAACAUCGAAACAGCUGGAAGCAUGAAAGGCUCCGUGCUUCCGAUAGCAUAGUAGCCUCACUCUAUAUAUUAUACUAGAUAUAUGAUACUUAUAAUAAGAAGAGUAAGAAUACUUUUAGAAGCACCAAAGAGGUGGUGCUUCUAAGUUUUUAGCCCUUGGAUCUACUCCUUGAUUAUUAAUAGCAUUUGGAUCAAACACUAUUCCAUCUACCACCACCUACCACCACCUACCAUCAUCAUCCCAACCCUACAUUUCUCCAUCCAAGGGUUAAAAACUCAAAAGCACCACCUAUUUGGUGCUUUUGGAAGUAUUCUAACUCAAUUAUAUAUAUAUAUAUAGGGUUAAUUACACCAAUAGUCCCUAACCUUUAUACUGUUUUUCAAUUUGGUCCCCAAUCUUUUUUUUUUUUGCAAUCAAGUCCCUAAUCUUUUGAUUUCAUUUCAAUUAAGUCCCAGCUGUUAAAUAGCUGUUAAAAUUGACGAAAAAUACCACGUCAGUACCACGUCAGCGCCACGGAGACGCCAUGUAAGCACCACGGUGACGCUGUGUCAGCGGAUUGCAAAAAACAAAAAGGUUAGGGACCAAAUUGAAAAACGAUGCAAAAAUUGACCCAUGGUGUAAUUAAUCCAUUAAAUUUAUAAAUUCAAAAAAAAAUUUAAUUUAAUAUUUAAAUUUUAAAUUUAAAUUUUGAUUUUGGAUUCAAAUUUAAAUUGGAAUUCAAAUUCCGAUUUUGUAUUUAAUUUUAAAUUCAAAUUCACAUUUGGAAUUAUAAAUUCUAAUUUAAUUUCAAACUUUGAUUUGAAAUUUCAAAUUCAAAAUGUGAAUUUGAAUUCAAAGUUUAAAUUCAAAUUUAGAAUUGAAAUCAAAUCUUAAAUUCAAAUUUAAAUUUUGAAUUCAAAUUUAAAAUUUAAAAUCAAAAUUUUGAAUAUGAUUUUAAAUUUAAAUUCAGAUUUUAAAUUUAAAUUUCGGUUUCAAAACUUUCAUUUUAAAUGUAAAUUGAAAUAUCAAAAUCAAAAUCAAAAUUUUAAGUUUGAAUUCAAAAUUUAGAUUCAAUUAAAAAUUUAAAUUUAAAAUUUGGAAUUUCAAUUCAAAAUUUAAAUUCAGCUUAAUUCAAAUUCAAAAUUCUAAUUUCUCGUUAGUUUUUAAAAUUUAAUUUUAAUAUUAUUUUUGAAUUUAAAUCUUAAAUUUGAAUUUUACUUUUUUGUGACUAAAAUGAAAAAUGUGCAAAAAUUUGGUACUUAAAUUGAAUAUGCAAAAGGUUGCCAAAUAAACGUUGACGUGGAAAUUCGUUAAUUUAAUAGUUUUUUAACGGUUGGGACGUAAAUUGUAAUAAAAUCAAGAUGUUAGGGACUCAAUUGCAAAAAAUAAACAAGAAGGUUGGGGACUCAAGUGAAAAUUGGUGAGAAGGUUGGGACAUACCUGUGUAAUUAACCCUAUAUAUAUUAUUUAUAUAUAUAUAUAUAUAUAUGAGAGAGAGAGAGAGAGAGGAGAGAGAGAGAGAGAGAGAGAGAGCAGGAAUGCUGUGCUCUCAGGAGCACGGAGGGCUCUCCGUGCUCCUGAGCCGUUUUCGAUGAUGGAAUUUUCGAAUCGACGAUCGGCUCCGUUAGACUUGAUCUAGCGUAUUUGAAGUUUCUAGAAAAUAAUUUUUGCGAUUUUUCGAUAUCGUUUACCUAGCAAUUGAAAGGAUUCAAAAUUAAUAAUUUUUAAUGGCUGAAAAUAAAAAUCCUAUAAAAAGUGGUGAUAUAGCGCUAAAAAUUUCGAUCAGAAAUAUUGAUCUUGUUGUAGAUAGUAUAAAGAAUUUUGUAUCAAAAUUUUAUCUGAUUUGAAUACUUCUAUACCGUUAAACUUGAAAACGGCAGAUAUCAACCAUUAAAAAUUAUUAAUUUUGAAUCCUUUCGAUCACUAGGUAAAUGAUAUCAAAAAAUCGUAAAAAUUAUUUUCUAGAAACUUCAAAUACCCUAGAUCAAGUCUAACGGAGCCGAUCGUCGAUUCGAAAAUUCCAUCAUCGAAAACGGCUCAGAAGCACAGAGGCCUCCGUGCUCCUAAGAGCACAGCGGCCCUGCUCUCUCUCUCUCUCUCUCUCUCUCUCUCUCUCUCUCUCUCUUUCUCUCUCUCUCUCUCUCUAUAUAUAUAUAUAUAUAUAGUGAGGCUACUAUACUUUUGGAAGCACGGAGCCUUCCGCGCUUCCAGGUCGUUUUCUAUAUUGCGACUUUCGAAUCGUCGAUCAGCUCCAUUAACUUGAUCUAGAAUAUUUGAAAUACCUAGAAAAUAAAUUAUGCGAUUUUUCGAUAUUAUUUACCUAGUGAACGAAGGGGCUCAAAAUCAACGGCUGAAAAUAAAAAUCUUACAAAACAUGAUAAUAUGACAUUAAAAUUUUAGAUCAAAGAUAUUGAUCUUGUUUAAUAUAGUAUAAAGAAUUUUUAUCAAAAUUUCACGUGAUUUGGAUAUUUCUACACCGUUAAACUUGUAAACGGCUCACUACGGCCAUUAAAAUUAUUGAUUUUGAGCCCCUUCGAUCACUAGGCAAAUGAUAUAGAAAAAUCAUAAAAUUUAUUUUCUAGGUACUUCAAAUACUCUAGAUCAAC